GAGUUUGAUCCUGGCUCAGAACGAACGCUGGCGGCAUGCCUUAUACAUGCAAGUCGAACGAGAAAGUCACUUCGGUGGCGAGUACAGUGGCGCACGGGUGAGUAACGCGUAGAUGAUCUACCCUUCAGUCUGGGACAACUCUUGGAAACGGGAGCUAAUACCGGAUAAAACCUUCGGGUUGAAAGAUUUAUCGCUGGGGGAUGAGUCUGCGUACCAUUAGCUUGUUGGUGGGGUAACGGCCUACCAAGGCGACGAUGGUUAGCGGGUCUGAGAGGACGAUCCGCCACACUGGAACUGAGACACGGUCCAGACUCCUACGGGAGGCAGCAGUAGGGAAUAUUGCGCAAUGGGGGCAACCCUGACGCAGCAAUGCCGCGUGAGUGAAGAAGGCCUUCGGGUCGUAAAGCUCUUUUAUGGGGGAAGAUGAUGACGGUACCCCAUGAAUAAGCACCGGCUAACUACGUGCCAGCAGCCGCGGUAAUACGUAGGGUGCGAGCGUUGUUCGGAAUUACUGGGCGUAAAGGGCGUGCAGGCGGAUUGGCAAGCCGGAGGUGAAAGCCCGGGGCUCAACCCCGGAGGGUCUUUCGGAACUGCCAGUCUUGAGAGGGUCAGGGGCCAGCGGAAUUC
RNAcentral lists this ribosomal RNA (627 nucleotides) under uncultured bacterium. RNAcentral describes it as "bacterial SSU rRNA". It matches the Rfam family "Bacterial small subunit ribosomal RNA", at positions 9 to 669 of the family's 1533-position model. The record is from RNAcentral.